GUGCUCGCUUCUGCAGCACAUAUAUAAAAUAUACAGAGAAGAUUAGCAUGGUCCCUGAGCAAGAAUGACAUGCAAAUUUGUGAAGUGUUCCAUAUUUCA
Molecule: small nuclear RNA, 99 nt
Filed under: Rhinolophus ferrumequinum (greater horseshoe bat)
Lineage: Eukaryota; Metazoa; Chordata; Mammalia; Chiroptera; Rhinolophidae
Source: RNAcentral